UGUAUGUGUAUGUAUGUGUAUGUGUGUGUAUAUAUAUAUAUAUACACACACACGCAUACGCACACACACACA
Molecule: non-coding RNA, 72 nt
Organism: Podarcis lilfordi (Lilford's wall lizard)
Lineage: Eukaryota; Metazoa; Chordata; Lepidosauria; Squamata; Lacertidae
Source: the annotation of a GenBank genome assembly